CACCCAUCCUCUAGUUGGGGAGCCCAGCCCAGGACUCAUCAUUCUUAUGUGGGACCUAGCCUGCACCCUCACACCCCCUUCCCCUAAGCCCCAGGACCAGCAUGCAGGCCAUCCCGCCCUCCCAGCAUUGAGACCACCUGACAAGUCCUCCAUUCCUCCUACCUGCCCAGGCCCCUGUCCUGCAGUACCUGUAUUACCUGGCUCAGAUUGGCAUUGCCAUGUCCCCACUCAGCAACAACAGCCUGUUCCUCAGCUACCACCGGAACCCUCUACCUGAGUACUUGUCCCGUGGCCUCAUGGUCUCGCUGUCCACGGAUGACCCCUUGCAGUUCCACUUCACCAAGGUCAGACCCAGGCCAGCGGGAGGGCAGCCAAGGCCGGGUGUCUGGGGGAUACUGGGUGUCUCUGGGUUGGUGCUGCCCCCUUGCUGGUGGAACUUAGCAACUGUUAGCUAAGUCCUUGAGGGAGGGAGGGAGGGACUACAGGGCCUGAUGCCUCCCUCAAGGAACCUGGCCUGUGCAGGAGCCCCUGAUGGAGGAGUACAGCAUCGCCACCCAGGUGUGGAAGCUCAGCUCCUGUGAUAUGUGUGAGCUGGCCCGAAACAGUGUGCUCAUGAGCGGCUUCUCUCACAAGGUACGACACUGAACUUGCCUGGGGCUGGGCAUCACCUUUCUCCCUUUGCACUUUGGGUCCUGUGAUCAUGAUCUACUGCGUCUCUCCCUGAUACCUACACCCCUGCAGGUGAAGAGCCACUGGCUGGGACCCAACUAUACCA
RNAcentral lists this long non-coding RNA (775 nucleotides) under Rattus norvegicus (Norway rat). RNAcentral's name for it is "long non-coding RNA NONRATT016771". The record is from RNAcentral. Lineage: Eukaryota; Metazoa; Chordata; Mammalia; Rodentia; Muridae.